GACGAACGCUGGCGGUGUGCUUAACACAUGCAAGUCGAACGGAAAGGCCCUAGCUUGCUGGAGUUAUCGGGUGGCGAACGGGUGAGGAACACGUGGGCAAUCUGCCCUGCACUCUGGGAUAAGCCUGGGAAACUGGGUCUAAGACUGGAUAUGACCCUUCCCCUUAUGGGGUUUGGUGGAAAUUUUUUCGUUGUAGGAUGAGCCCGGGGCCUAUCAGCUUGUUGGGGGGGUGAUGGCCUACCAAGUCGAGGCCGGGUAGCCUGCCUGAGAGGGUGAUCGGCCACAUGGGUACUGAGAUACGGCCCAGACUCCUACGGGGGACAGCAGGGGGAAAUAUUGCACAAUGGGAGGGAGCCGGAGGCAAAGGCGCCGCGUGAGGGAAGACGGCUUGCGGGGUAAAAACCUCUUCAAGCUGAGACGCAGCUUAUGUGACGGUACCUGCAGAAGAAGCACCGGCUAACUACGUG
RNAcentral lists this ribosomal RNA (467 nucleotides) under uncultured bacterium. Its description in RNAcentral is "partial 16S ribosomal RNA". It matches the Rfam family "Bacterial small subunit ribosomal RNA", at positions 28 to 507 of the family's 1533-position model. The record is from RNAcentral.